UGCGUAACACGUGAGCAACCUACCGAACUGUGGGGGAUAGCCGGCCUAACGGCCGAGUAAUACCGCAUACGCUUUCAGUGAGGCAUUUCAUUGAAAGGAAACCUACGGGACAGAUCGAGGGGCUCGCGGCCUAUCAGCUAGUUGGCGAGGUAACGGCUCACCAAGGCAACGACGGGUAGCUGGUCUGAGAGGAUGGCCAGCCACAUUGGGACUGAGAUACGGCCCAGACUCCUACGGGAGGCAGCAGUGGGGAAUCUUGCGCAAUGGCCUAACGGCUGACGCAGCGACGCCGCGUGUGGGAUGAAGCUCUUCGGAGUGUAAACCACUGUUGCCCGGGACGAACAGCUCGAUUAGUCGAGCCUGACGGUACCGGGUGAGGAAGCACCGGCUAACUCCGUGCCAGCAGCCGCGGUAAUACGGGGGGUGCGAGCGUUGUCCGGAAUCACUGGGCGUAAAGGGCGCGUAGGUGGUUUGAUAAGGGUGUGGUGAAAGUCCGGGGCUCAACCCCGGAUCUGCCGUGCCGACUGUCAAACUCGAGGACUGUAGAGGCAGACGGAAUUCCGGGUGUAGCGGUGGAAUGCGUAGAGAUCCGGAGGAAGACCGGUGGCGAAGGCGGUCUGCUGGGCAGUUUCUGACACUGAGGCGCGACAGCGUGGGGAGCAAACAGGAUUAGAUACCCUGGUAGUCCACGCCGUAAACGAUGGGUACUAGGUGCCUGGGGGAGCGACCCUCUGGGUGCCGGCGCUAACGCAGGAAGUACCCCGCCUGGGGAGUACGACCGCAAGGUUGAAACUCAAAGGAAUUGACGGGGGCCCGCACAAGCGGUGGAGCAUGUGGUUUAAUUCGACGCAACGCGAAGAACCUUACCUAGGCUUGACAUGCACGAGCAAGCUCUCAGAAACGAGAGCCCCUCUUCGGAGAUCGUGCACAGGUGCUGCAUGGCUGUCGUCAGCUCGUGUCGUGAGAU
RNAcentral lists this ribosomal RNA (967 nucleotides) under uncultured bacterium. RNAcentral's name for it is "bacterial SSU rRNA". It matches the Rfam family "Bacterial small subunit ribosomal RNA", at positions 107 to 1073 of the family's 1533-position model. The record is from RNAcentral.